Mesocricetus auratus (golden hamster) is the source of this 1052-nucleotide long non-coding RNA. RefSeq lists it as uncharacterized. NCBI's taxonomy places the organism in Eukaryota, Metazoa, Chordata, Mammalia, Rodentia, Cricetidae. The record is from RefSeq and is a predicted model, not a curated record. The transcript is spliced from 4 exons.
UGGGGCCAAAGAGUUGUCUCAGUAAUUAAAAAGUACUUACUGCUAUUGCAGAGGACCUGGGUUCAGUUCCCAGCACUCACAUCAGGCAGCUCACAACCGUCUGCAACUCCAAUUCCAGGAGAUCCAGCAUCCUCUUCUGGCCUACUCAGACACCUAUACACAUAUGAUGCACAUAAACUCCUGCAGCCUCACACACAUACACAAAGAAAUGGACCGAGUGAAGAAGAGAGGAUAGACACAGAUUGCUGUGGGCUGUUGUGCAUGGUAAACUCCAGGAAACACAGCAACCUGGGAGCAAUUAAAGAGAUGCCUUCGGUGGCCACUGCUGAGAGGAGCAUGCGACAGAUCUUAGGACAGCCACUGGAGGGACAUAAAGUUGGAGAAACUGGGCUUCUGAGUCAUGGUUUACACCCUGCUGAGGCAUCUCCCCUGUGGAUCCAUCUUCAUUUUCACCUACUUGUGACUGAGAACUAGAAACUCCAGAUGCUAAAAGAUGGUAGCCUGAGGUACUAAGGACUCGGCACCUCAGUCACGCAUCAGUCACAAGCCCUGUGCGUGGCAUUUGGAGCAAGGGGAAUGAUAAUCAAUUAUCUUGCACCUUUGGAAAACCAUGCCUGUACAGAGAGCAAUGAUUAAUUAGCACCUCGGAGGCAUCUUUGACUGACAAGGCCUGGCUAGGUGCAAACCUUCAAAGACAGAAUGGCACAUCAGGGGGUUUAUUCAGCAGAGAGCUUGCAGCAGCGUGCGCUCUAACACGGAACCUCAUGAAGCCUGCGGCCAGGAAUAAAAGAAAGAUAUCAACUUUGAAAAUCAAUCUCACGAUUCCGUGAUGCAUGAACUGCCAUCACUUAAAACGGUGACAACAAAAGAAUCUUUUUACAGUUUUCUCCCACCCCCUCCUCCUUCAAGACUGACAGCCAGGAACCAGGGAGGUGGCUUAGCAGUUAAAGGUGCCGGCUGCCAAGUUUGAUGGCCAACAUUUGAUACCUAAGACCCACGUGGUAGAUGAGGAGAAGCGACUCCAACAAGUUGUCCUCUGAUUUCAGCAUGUG